RNAcentral lists this long non-coding RNA (297 nucleotides) under Elaeis guineensis (African oil palm). RNAcentral's name for it is "long non-coding RNA (EGUI_LNC035491)". Lineage: Eukaryota; Viridiplantae; Streptophyta; Magnoliopsida; Arecales; Arecaceae. The record is from RNAcentral.
GCUUGUCCCUUCUUUUGAGUUUUUGGUGACUGCUCUUCUUAUGAGGAAGAGCACCAUCAAGAUAGAGGAGAUCACUUCUGUGCUUCUCUAUAAUGAGGUUCUUAGGUGGGAGAAUCGAGUUUUAAGUUCAAAAGAUGACUCGACUAUGGCGGUGACUAGAAGAGGUGGUGGUAAAAGAUGAAGGGGCAGAGGAUCGUAAGAUGGGUGGUCCAGAUCCAAAAUGAGAGAAUUCAACAAGAUCAGAUGCUAUGGAUGUAAUAAGUUAGGAUAUCGAGUUAGAAAUUGUCCAUAGCUCAA